GAGUUUUGAUCCUGGCUCAGGAUGAACGCUAGCUACAGGCUUAACACAUGCAAGUCGAGGGGCAUCAGUUUUGGUUUGCUUGCAAACCAAAGCUGGCGACCGGCGCACGGGUGAGUAACACGUAUCCAACCUGCCUCAUACUCGGGGAUAGCCUUUCGAAAGAAAGAUUAAUAUCCGAUAGCAUAUAUUUCCCGCAUGGGUUUUAUAUUAAAGAAAUUCGGUAUGAGAUGGGGAUGCGUUCCAUUAGUUUGUUGGCGGGGUAACGGCCCACCAAGACUACGAUGGGUAGGGGUUCUGAGAGGAAGGUCCCCCACAUUGGAACUGAGACACGGUCCAAACUCCUACGGGAGGCAGCA
RNAcentral lists this ribosomal RNA (356 nucleotides) under uncultured bacterium. Its description in RNAcentral is "bacterial SSU rRNA". It matches the Rfam family "Bacterial small subunit ribosomal RNA", at positions 9 to 353 of the family's 1533-position model. The record is from RNAcentral.